CUCUGUGACUCCUACGGGAGGCAGCAGUGGGGAAUAUUGCACAAUGGGCGCAAGCCUGAUGCAGCCAUGCCGCGUGUGUGAAGAAGGCCUUCGGGUUGUAAAGCACUUUCAGUCGUGAGGAAGGCGGUGUAGUUAAUAGCUGCAUCGUUUGACGUUAGCGACAGAAGAAGCACCGGCUAACUCCGUGCCAGCAGCCGCGGUAAUACGGAGGGUGCGAGCGUUAAUCGGAAUUACUGGGCGUAAAGCGCAUGCAGGUGGUUUGUUAAGUCAGAUGUGAAAGCCCGGGGCUCAACCUCGGAAUUGCAUUUGAAACUGGCAGACUAGAGUACUGUAGAGGGGGUAGAAUUUCAGGUGUAGCGGUGAAAUGCGUAGAGAUCUGAAGGAAUACCGGUGGCGAAGGCGGCCCCCUGGACAGAUACUGACACUCAGAUGCGAAAGCGUGGGGAGCAAACAGGAUUAGAUACCCUGGUAG
Molecule: ribosomal RNA, 472 nt
Filed under: uncultured bacterium
Lineage: Bacteria
Description: bacterial SSU rRNA
Rfam family: Bacterial small subunit ribosomal RNA
Source: RNAcentral